Long non-coding RNA from Suricata suricatta (meerkat), 1062 nucleotides. RefSeq lists it as uncharacterized. NCBI's taxonomy places the organism in Eukaryota, Metazoa, Chordata, Mammalia, Carnivora, Herpestidae. The transcript is spliced from 3 exons. The record is from RefSeq and is a predicted model, not a curated record.
ACCUUUAAAAAAAUUAAAUUAAAAUUAAAAUAUAUCCCCCAAUUUUUUGAUAUUCUUACCUUUAAGAAGCAGAGCCUAAGCUUUGCGCAGUGCCAGUAUUGUAGCCAAUGAGGUUUAUCUGAGAUGCGAUUUUUGCUAAAAGAGGUUGCUAAAAGAGGUUUUUGCUAAAAGAGCUUAAUUUCCCUCCCCUCGGUUGUGGGAAAGAUUUAGUAACUCACUUCUAACCAGUAAAAUGAAGCAGAAAAUGUGAUGUGGGACUUCUGAGACCGAGUCUUCAAAAGGCACUGUUGCCCUCUCUUUGUCUUCACUUGCUCUAGGGAAAACAGCUGAUGUACCAUGUCAGCGUUGCAAAGGCCACAUGGUGAUGAACCUUGCUGCCACUAGCAACUGGAGUGAGCCAUCUAGGAAGUGGAUCCCCUAGGCCUGGUCAAGCUCUCAGAUGACUUCUCAUGAGGUUGCAAUCCUGGCCGACAGCAUGACAGCUACCUCAUGGGAUCCCUUCUUGAAUGAGAAGCUCCUAGCUAAGCCCCUCCUGAAUUCCUGAUUCUCAAAAAUUGUAGGAGUUUGCAUCCAGGUGAAGAAGUAGGUUACAGCUCCAGAAACAUAAUGAACUAUGGAAGGUUCUGGAUGUCCUGGCAUAUGAAGAGGAUUGCCGUGUAGUGGAAAUCCAAAGGAUGAUGUCCACAUCAUGGUCUUUGUGAACUACCGCACUGAAGCUAAGUCAUUUGGAGCCUGUGUGGCAGGACAGAUUAAGUGGAUAGAAGUGGAGAGAGGGAGACAGACUGAGAGACAGGCCAUCUGCUAAAAAUGAAGGACUCUGAGGGCCUAGAGGAUGAUGCUAAUGCAGGACAGAAGGAACCAGGAUGCCUGAGUCAUUGCUUGGAGAAGAGUUCUAUUGGACGUUGCACAACAAGAAAGAAAAUUAUGUUAAGCCACUGAAAGUUGAUGUUUGUUUAUUACAGUAGCUAGUACUAAUUAUUCUAAUAUCUUUUUGUUUCUGAAUUUGGGUUUGAUGUUGUCACGGUAAGAGAAUAAAGAAAAGAAUAAAGAAGCAGAAAACUA